Long non-coding RNA from Oncorhynchus gorbuscha (pink salmon), 621 nucleotides. RefSeq lists it as uncharacterized. The record is from RefSeq and is a predicted model, not a curated record. The transcript is spliced from 4 exons. NCBI's taxonomy places the organism in Eukaryota, Metazoa, Chordata, Actinopteri, Salmoniformes, Salmonidae.
CAAGAAGUGGACGUGUGGAGGUGUACCUGAAUGGUCAGUGGGUCGGUGUGUGACUGUCAUUGGACAGACAUAGAUGCCAAUGUGAUCUGCAGACAGCUGGGGUUGGGUGAGAUCGGCACUGCUUUGGAGCAGUCCAGGUUCGGCUCGGGCUCCGGCCUCUUCCAUUACGAGCGGCUGAGUUGCCAUGGUGAUGAGAGCUCCGUCAGCCAAUGCCAGAGCAGGACAUUUGUUACCGGGGACUGUAGCCAUGGAAAUGAGGCGGGAGUUGUGUGUGCUCCACCAGAAGGCAGUGGUCUUCCUCUAUGAUUGGUUGGAGUAGAAGAAUACUUUGAGGGGCGUGUUGAGGUGUUCCACAGUGGUAGGUGGGGGUCUGUCUGCGAUGACCAAUGGGACGACAGAGAUGCAGAGGUGGUCUGUCAACAGCUGGGCUUCGGGGGUGUGGCGAAGGCCUGGUCGUGGGCUCACUUCGGACAGAGCUCAGGUCCCAUCCUAUUGGACGCCGUGAGGUGUCUUCACUGACAUUUUCAACCUGUCCCCAUAUGAGUCUGUAAUACCAACAUGUUUCAAGCAGACAAUCAUAGUCCCUGUGCCCAAGAACACUAAGGUAACCUGCCUAAAUGA